RNAcentral lists this unclassified non-coding RNA (279 nucleotides) under Leohumicola sp. Its description in RNAcentral is "partial contains 5.8S ribosomal RNA, internal transcribed spacer 2, and large subunit ribosomal RNA". The stretch from base 1 to 71 matches the Rfam family "5.8S ribosomal RNA", at positions 84 to 154 of the family's 154-position model. Lineage: Eukaryota; Fungi; Ascomycota; Leotiomycetes. The record is from RNAcentral.
GUGAGUCAUCGAAUCUUUGAACGCACAUUGCGCCCCUUGGUAUUCCGAGGGGCAUGCCCGUUCGAGCGUCAUUAUAACCCCUCAAGCCUAGCUUGGUGUUGGGGCCUGCUGUUACGGCAGCCCUUAAAAUCAGUGGCGGUGCCAUCUGGCUCUAAGCGUAGUAAUACUUCUCGCUACAGGGUCCUGGUGGAUGCUUGCCAUCAACCCCUAAUUUUCUAUGGUUGACCUCGGAUCGGGUAGGGAUACCCGCUGAACUUAAGCAUAUCAAUAAGCGGAGGA